GUAUGAAGCUAUAUAGAGUUUAACCUGCCCACUGAAAAUUUUAAAGGGCCGCGGUAUUUUGACCGUGCGAAGGUAGCAUAAUCAAUAGUCUUUUAAUUGAAGGCUUGAAUGAAAGGUUGGACGAGAAAUAUACUGUUUCUUAAAUAGAGAUUGAAUUUAACUUUUAAGUGAAAAGGCUUAAAUACUACAAGAAGACGAUAAGACCCUAUAAAUCUUUAUACUAAUUUAAUUUUUUGAAAAAUUUAUAGGUUAAUUCGAUUAAGAUUUAAAUAAUAUUUUAUUGGGGCGAUAUGAAUAGAUAAUUAUCUAUUCAACGAUUUUACAGUAUAUGUCUGAAUAAAUUUUUUAGAUCCUUUUUAAGGAUUUUCAGAUCAAGUUACUUUAGGGAUAACAGCGUUAUUUUAUUUGAGAGUUCAUAUUGAAAAUAAAGUUUGCGACCUCGAUGUUGAAUUAAAAUUUCUUUGUGGUGCAGCAGCUAUAAAAGAAAGUCUGUUCGACUUUUAAAAUU
Molecule: ribosomal RNA, 508 nt
Filed under: Areopaguristes sp. USNM 1548049
Lineage: Eukaryota; Metazoa; Arthropoda; Malacostraca; Decapoda; Diogenidae
Description: partial large subunit ribosomal RNA
Rfam family: Bacterial large subunit ribosomal RNA
Source: RNAcentral